This 71-nucleotide transfer RNA is filed under the name Elusimicrobia bacterium CG08_land_8_20_14_0_20_51_18. RNAcentral describes it as "tRNA-Gln". It matches the Rfam family "tRNA". From Rfam's summary of the family: Transfer RNA (tRNA) molecules are approximately 80 nucleotides in length. The record is from RNAcentral. Lineage: Bacteria; Pseudomonadati; Elusimicrobiota.
UCCCGGGUAGUGUAAUGGUAACACAGCGCCCUUUGGAGGCGUUAUUCAUGGUUCGAAUCCAUGCCCGGGAG